This 1167-nucleotide long non-coding RNA is filed under the name Canis lupus familiaris (dog). RNAcentral describes it as "lncRNA (ENSCAFG00845024800.1)". Lineage: Eukaryota; Metazoa; Chordata; Mammalia; Carnivora; Canidae. The record is from RNAcentral.
UACCAACUCAUGGCCCCCAUGUCAGUGGCUUUCAACAAAACUUCAAAUAGCAACUAAGCAUUUCAUCACUGAUUGUUGGCAAUUUAUGAGAAAUCCUCUUGCAGGGAUCCAAGUUCACCUGAAUUCCUGCAUAGAUCUCUUCCUAAUGUCUCUGGUGUUUGAACCAUCCAGACUCAUGAGCCCAUCCUCAUCUCAAAACUGGGAUUCCACACCCAAAAGAACAUUUAGAAUAACUGUCCAGGUGAUCUGGAGCAGGGCUGACCUGAGCACUUUCUCCCUGUCUGGCUGGUGCUGAAUGUGGGAAGGGGAGUUAUCUGAGGCUGGAAUCCCUGCAAGGUGCUGAGGCCAUUACUGAAAGUGAGAAAAGGAGGAAUAGUGCAUGAGAGUUGAUACCUCUUAGCAAAAUGAGAGUCCAGGACUGACAGGGGCUGCCCCCUUUAAAUUGAGGCAGAGACCAAUGUGUGAGAAGUCCUCUCAUGCCGGGAAGUACGUAUUUGAAGGUAGCAGGAGGCCUGUGGGACCAUGGCCUCAGAUCACUUCACUCAGGACAAUAGACAUUGUAAUGUUGAAAAAUAAAGCCAGACUUUGUGAUAAGGAUCAGGCAAGGGGUGGGGCAGGGACUGGCUGUGGUCAGCUGGUUUGGCUGUACUGGAUACAGGAACAGGCUGAAGAGUAGGCACCGAAUGGCCAGGCUGGGCAAGGAAGGGGCAGUGGAGACAAACUGUCAUUGAUGGAACAGGCCAUCUAGAGGAAUGGGUGACUGACAGUAGGUGAGAAAACAUGGCCAAAUGGAUCAAGCUACUGCAGAUACUCAAUAUGGCUCCCUUGUGGCCCCAGGAGGUCAAAUGCUAAUAAAAAGUAAUAGCAACAGCUGCCACCAGACCAGUAGUGGUAGUAACAACAGUACUGCUAGUAGUGAUGGUAAAUAGGUAUUGCCUGCUUAUUAUGCUUUUGGCAGCAUGUUACUUGCUUUAUAUGCAUUAGCUCAUUUAAUAGUCAAAUAACCCAUUAUUUUUUACCCAUACGUUUCUUAUUGUUUAUAAGAAACAAGUUCAGAGAGGCCAAGAUACCCGCUCAAAGUACAUGAAGUGGUUACAAUACUAAGAAGCAUAUGAAAAGUUAAGGUUGUAUAUCACAGUCUAGAACAACCAUCACAAAAAAGAAAAA